AGCGAACGCUGGCGGCGUACUUAACACAUGCAAGUCGAACGAGGAUCUUCAGUGUAGCAAUACAUCGGAGGUCCUAGUGGCGCACGGGUGAGUAACACGUGGGUGACCUGCCCUUGAGCUCGGGAUACCCCCUCGAAAGGGGGGCUAAUACCGGAUACGUUCCCCGGUCGAAAGACUGGGGAGGAAAGGUGGUGCAAGCUGCCGCUCUUGGAGGGGCUCGCGGCCUAUCAGCUAGUUGGCGGGGUAACGGCCCACCAAGGCUAUGACGGGUAGCUGGUCUGAGAGGACGACCAGCCACACGGGGACUGAGACACGGCCCCGACUCCUACGGGAGGCAGCAGUGGGGAAUUUUCCGCAAUGGGCGAAAGCCUGACGGAGUGACGCCGCGUGUGGGACGAAGGCCUUCGGGUCGUAAACCACUGUCAGUGGGAGAGAUGGGUGUCGGUGCUAAUACCAUCGGCAUCUGACGGUACCUGCAGAGGAAGCCCCGGCCAACUCUGUGCCAGCAGCCGCGGUAAGACAGAGGGGGCAAGCGUUGCUCGGAAUUACUGGGCGUAAAGGGCGCGUAGGCGGGAUGGUAAGUCGGUCGUGAAAUCCCUCGGCUCAACCGAGGAACGUCGAUCGAUACUACUGUUCUUGAGGGUUGCAGAGGAGACUGGAAUUCCCGGUGUAGCGGUGAAAUGUGUAGAGAUCGGGAGGAACACCGGUGGCGAAGGCGGGUCUCUGGGCAAUUCCUGACGCUGAGGCGCGAAAGCGUGGGGAGCAAACGGGAUUAGAUACCCCGGUAGUCCACGCUGUAAACGAUGAGCACUAGGUGUGGGGGGGUUCAGUCCCUUCCGUGCCGCAGCUAACGCAUUAAGUGCUCCGCCUGGGGAGUACGGCCGCAAGGUUGAAACUCA
This 899-nucleotide ribosomal RNA is filed under the name uncultured bacterium. Its description in RNAcentral is "bacterial SSU rRNA". It matches the Rfam family "Bacterial small subunit ribosomal RNA", at positions 28 to 903 of the family's 1533-position model. The record is from RNAcentral.